This 874-nucleotide ribosomal RNA is filed under the name Hypocreales sp. RNAcentral's name for it is "partial large subunit ribosomal RNA". It matches the Rfam family "Eukaryotic large subunit ribosomal RNA", at positions 49 to 954 of the family's 3401-position model. The record is from RNAcentral. Lineage: Eukaryota; Fungi; Ascomycota; Sordariomycetes; Hypocreales.
AGCGGAGGAAAAGAAACCAACAGGGAUUGCCCCAGUAACGGCGAGUGAAGCGGCAACAGCUCAAAUUUGAAAUCUGGCCCCCAGGGCCCGAGUUGUAAUUUGCAGAGGAUGCUUUUGGCGCGGUGCCUUCCGAGUUCCCUGGAACGGGACGCCAUAGAGGGUGAGAGCCCCGUCUGGUCGGACGCCUAGCCUGUGUAAAGCUCCUUCGACGAGUCGAGUAGUUUGGGAAUGCUGCUCUAAAUGGGAGGUAUAUGUCUUCUAAAGCUAAAUACCGGCCAGAGACCGAUAGCGCACAAGUAGAGUGAUCGAAAGAUGAAAAGCACUUUGAAAAGAGGGUUAAAUAGUACGUGAAAUUGUUGAAAGGGAAGCGCUUGUGACCAGACUUGGGCCCGGUGGAUCAUCCAGCGUUCUCGCUGGUGCACUCCGCCGGGUUCAGGCCAGCAUCAGUUCGCCGCGGGGGAAAAAGGCUUCGGGAACGUGGCUCCUACGGGAGUGUUAUAGCCCGUUGCAUAAUACCCUGGGGCGGACUGAGGUUCGCGCUCCGCAAGGAUGCUGGCGUAAUGGUCAUCAGCGACCCGUCUUGAAACACGGACCAAGGAGUCGUCUUCGUAUGCGAGUGUUCGGGUGUAAAACCCCUACGCGUAAUGAAAGUGAACGCAGGUGAGAGCUUCGGCGCAUCAUCGACCGAUCCUGAUGUUCUCGGAUGGAUUUGAGUAAGAGCAUACGGGGCCGGACCCGAAAGAAGGUGAACUAUGCCUGUAUAGGGUGAAGCCAGAGGAAACUCUGGUGGAGGCUCGCAGCGGUUCUGACGUGCAAAUCGAUCGUCAAAUAUGGGCAUGGGGGCGAAGACUAAUCGAACCUUUCUAGUAGCUGG